Molecule: ribosomal RNA, 492 nt
Filed under: uncultured bacterium
Lineage: Bacteria
Description: partial 16S ribosomal RNA
Rfam family: Bacterial small subunit ribosomal RNA
Source: RNAcentral
AGUGAACGCUGGCGGUAGGCCUAACACAUGCAAGUCGAACGGCAGCACAGUAAGAGCUUGCUCUUACGGGUGGCGAGUGGCGGCCGGGCGCGGAAUACAUUGGAAUCUACUUUUUCGUGGGGGAUAACGUAGGGAAACUUACGCUAAUACCGCAUACGACCUACGGGUGAAACCAGGGACUCUUCGGACCUCGCGCGAUCGAAUGAGCCGAUGUCGGAUUAGCUAGUUGGCGGGGUAAAGGCCCACCAAGGCGACGAUCCGUAGCUGCUCUGAGAGGAUGACCAGCCACACUGGAACUGAGACACGGUCCAGACUCCUACGGGAGGCAGCAGCGGGGAACAUUGGACAAUGGGCGCAGACCUGAUCCAGCCAUACCCCGUACGUGAAGAAGGCCUUCGCGUUGUAAAGCCCUUUUGUUGCGAAAGAAAAGCAGCAGGUUAAUACCCCGCUGUUCUGACGGUACCCAAGGAAUAAGCACCGGAUAACUUCGUG